GUCGUUAUGUCUUGCGAAUUACGAUGGGGAUUCGUUGUCUGAGCCUUCCCACGAUGGGGCAAUCCUGCAUGAUCCGAAUCGUUCGUUAGCUUCGCUCUGAUACUCGACCUCGAUGAUUUAGCCGGUUUCACUAUCGCUGUUGUUCCGGAACGCUGCACUUCCGCCAAUCUUAAAAUGCAAAUACCCAACACAUUCUUGUGCGAUUCGCGACUUCGUGUUCGCGACUUAAUCAACGAACUUCGGAGUUCAACAAGAUGAAUGUGAUAAUUCACUUUUUCGUUAGAACGUUUCAAAGUUAGUUAUUGGUAAGACGGGAAAAACUAAGUUAUAGUGACACGAACGGAUUCGUUCUGUACGUCAACGUUCACAACUUCAUCUUCACAGUUUAAUCAUCUAACUUAAAUAAAGGUAUGAUCGUUUGGUCUUUGACGGGCAACUCAAGAUUGACUAACAAUGGUCUCAGGUACGAGUAUCCUCCCUGGACUUGUCCUUCCG
Molecule: long non-coding RNA, 495 nt
Organism: Ceratina calcarata
Lineage: Eukaryota; Metazoa; Arthropoda; Insecta; Hymenoptera; Apidae
Exons: 3
Source: RefSeq, a predicted model, not a curated record